RNAcentral lists this ribosomal RNA (564 nucleotides) under uncultured bacterium. RNAcentral describes it as "bacterial SSU rRNA". It matches the Rfam family "Bacterial small subunit ribosomal RNA", at positions 744 to 1321 of the family's 1533-position model. The record is from RNAcentral.
CACUAAGGCACGAAAGCGUGGGGAGCAAACGGGAUUAGAUACCCCGGUAGUCCACGCCGUAAACGAUGGAUGCUAGCUGUUAGAAGUAUCGACCCUUCUAGUAGCGAAGCUAACGCGUUAAGCAUCCCGCCUGUGGAGUACGGUCGCAAGACUAAAACAUAAAGGAAUUGACGGGGACCCGCACAAGCGGUGGAGCGUGCUCUUUAAUUCGAUGGUAAGCGAAGAACCUUACCAGGGUUUGACAUCCUUGGAAUUUUGCCGAAAGGCGAGAGUACUUUAUUGGACCAAGUGACAGGUGUUGCAUGGCCGUCGUCAGCUCGUGUCGUGAGAUGUUUGGUUAAGUCCAUCAACGAGCGCAACCCUUGUAUUCAGUUGGAUUUUUCUGAAUAAACUGCCCCGGUAACGGGGAGGAAGGAGGGGAUGAUGUCAGGUCAGUAUUACCCUUACACCCUGGGCUAGAAGCACGCUACAAUGGCCGGUACAAAGGGCAGCCAAGUCGCGAGACGGAGCAAAUCCCAUCAAAGCCGGUCCCAGUUCGGAUAGCAGGCUGAAACUCGCCUGCUU